GAUGAACGCUGGCGGCGUGCCUAAUACAUGCAAGUCGAGCGAACAGACGAGGAGCUUGCUCCUCUGACGUUAGCGGCGGACGGGUGAGUAACACGUGGAUAACCUACCUAUAAGACUGGGAUAACUUCGGGAAACCGGAGCUAAUACCGGAUAAUAUAUUGAACCGCAUGGUUCAAUAGUGAAAGACGGUUUUGCUGUCACUUAUAGAUGGAUCCGCGACGCAUUAGCUAGUUGGUAAGGUAACGGCUUACAAAGGCAACGAUGCGUAGCCGACCUGAGAGGGUGAUCGGCCACUAUGGAACUGAGAAACGGUCCAGACUCCUACGGGAGGCAGCAGUAGGGAAGCAUCCGCAAUGGGCGAAAGCUUGACGGAGCAGCGCCGCGUGAGUGAUGAAGGUCUUCGGAUCGUAAAACUCUGUUAUUAGGGAAGAACAAAUGUGUAAGUAACUAUGCACGUCUUAACGGUACCUAAUCAGAAAGCCACGGCUAACUACGUG
RNAcentral lists this ribosomal RNA (497 nucleotides) under uncultured bacterium. RNAcentral's name for it is "partial 16S ribosomal RNA". It matches the Rfam family "Bacterial small subunit ribosomal RNA", at positions 28 to 507 of the family's 1533-position model. The record is from RNAcentral.